GAUGAACGCUAGCUACAGGCUUAACACAUGCAAGUCGAGGGGAAACGCCAUCGCAAGCUUGCUUUUGAUGGGCGUCGACCGGCGCACGGGUGAGUAACGCGUAUCCAACCUGCCCAUCACUUGGGGAUAACCUUGCGAAAGUAAGACUAAUACCCAAUGAUAUCUCUAGAAGACAUCUGAAAGAGAUUAAAGAUUUAUCGGUGAUGGAUGGGGAUGCGUCUGAUUAGCUUGUUGGCGGGGUAACGGCCCACCAAGGCAACGAUCAGUAGGGGUUCUGAGAGGAAGCUCCACCAGAAUGGAGCUAAGGCACAGACCAAAAUGGUACGGAGCACAGGGGUAUGGAAGAUUGGGCGAGGGAGGAGGGCCUAACCCAGCCAAGUGGCGUGCAGGAAGCCGGCCCUAGGGGUUGUAAACUGCUUUUAAAGAAGAAGAAAGUGAGAGUCGUGACUCUUUUUGUAUGUACCUUAUGAAUAAGGACCGGCUAAUCACGUG
RNAcentral lists this ribosomal RNA (492 nucleotides) under uncultured bacterium. Its description in RNAcentral is "partial 16S ribosomal RNA". It matches the Rfam family "Bacterial small subunit ribosomal RNA", at positions 28 to 507 of the family's 1533-position model. The record is from RNAcentral.